UUGACCUCGGAUCAGGUAGGGAUACCCGCUGAACUUAAGCAUAUCAAUAAGCGGAGGAAAAGAAACCAACAGGGAUUGCCCCAGUAACGGCGAGUGA
Molecule: ribosomal RNA, 97 nt
Filed under: Penicillium janczewskii
Lineage: Eukaryota; Fungi; Ascomycota; Eurotiomycetes; Eurotiales; Aspergillaceae
Description: partial 28S ribosomal RNA
Rfam family: Eukaryotic large subunit ribosomal RNA
Source: RNAcentral